RNAcentral lists this ribosomal RNA (445 nucleotides) under uncultured bacterium. Its description in RNAcentral is "partial 16S ribosomal RNA". It matches the Rfam family "Bacterial small subunit ribosomal RNA", at positions 354 to 796 of the family's 1533-position model. The record is from RNAcentral.
GUAGGGAAUAUUGGGCAAUGGAUGAAAGUCUGACCCAGCCAUGCCGCGUGCCGGAUGAAGGCGCUCAGCGUUGUAAACGGCUUUUAUUCGGGAAGAAGAGCAGGGAUGCGUCCCUGUGUGACGGUACCGAAUGAAUAAGCACCGGCUAACUCCGUGCCAGCAGCCGCGGUAAUACGGAGGGUGCGAGCGUUGUCCGGAUUUAUUGGGUUUAAAGGGUGCGUAGGUGGCCAAAUAAGUCAGUGGUGAAAUACGGUUGCUCAACAAUCGAGGUGCCAUUGAUACUGCUUGGCUUGAAAUAAUUGGAGGCUGCCGGAAUGGAUGGUGUAGCGGUGAAAUGCAUAGAUAUCAUCCAGAACACCGAUUGCGAAGGCAGGUGGCUACGAUUUAUUUGACACUGAGGCACGAAAGCAUGGGGAGCAAACAGGAUUAGAAACCCUAGUAGUCC